GUACAUGUAAGUCCAUCAAUCUACAUUCUGAUAUAAUUGCAUGUAGCAACUGUUUUAUGGCGAAAUACAGUACUGUAAUUGGUCAGAACAGCAAUCUUCAUACUCAUGACAGUCUUUAUCACACUGGCAGUUGAAGUCAUCACUAUAACUGCACUGACGUGGUGGUGAACAUGAAUUUGAAACUAAAAAUGAAAAGAAAAGUAAACUAGAGGCAAACAAAAGAUAUAUACAGUAGCUGUUGAAAUGGUGUAUAGUAUCAGUUUAAAAGGCAUAUCAUGUUUAUCAGGUUAAAUAAAGGCAAGAGUAGUAUACCACUGUUCGAAACUCGUAAAUCGAUAGAAAAAAAAACAAAUCCGGUUUCCAAACUAAAACUGAGGGAAACGCAUUAAAUAUAAGAGGAGAACAACGACACAACAGAAACACAACAUUAAAAUGUAACACACAGAAACGAAAAAAGAUAUUUUUGUUCUACAGUAUUCAGGUCUUCUGGUAUUUUAUACCACCAAUUGGAUAUGUAGAUGUGACAACCAUAACAUAAUUUGGAGUCAUCAAUGCUUUUCUACUCGUAUUUAAUUAUUUAUUCGAGUGUAACCAGAAACAAAUACAUUAAAACAGUAUAUAUUGGUGUAACUGUUGAUUCUUUUGUAGACGCGGUUGGCG
RNAcentral lists this long non-coding RNA (660 nucleotides) under Mytilus galloprovincialis (Mediterranean mussel). Lineage: Eukaryota; Metazoa; Mollusca; Bivalvia; Mytilida; Mytilidae. The record is from RNAcentral.